Molecule: long non-coding RNA, 1789 nt
Filed under: Solanum tuberosum (potato)
Lineage: Eukaryota; Viridiplantae; Streptophyta; Magnoliopsida; Solanales; Solanaceae
Description: long non-coding RNA (STUB_LNC000765)
Source: RNAcentral
AACAAGUUUUAGUUCUUCUGCUAUUACAUUCUCUAAAUCAAAUAAUUGUUUAGAAGAUCAGAGGUUCUUAGGAUGUUGUCUUACGUUAUAACAUCUGCCAGUAUGAAGACAAUAAUACUUGCAUUAAAGGAUAGGCAUGAAACAAGUAUCCUAGAUUCUGCUAUGCUGAAUUUGCAAUGACUUGAAGCAAGACUCUAUUUAUGAGUCAACUAGGUUGGCAAUUUAUUGUUUUGGUACUGCGUGUGUUGUUAGGUGAAAUCUGGUACUGCCUGUGUUGUUAGGUGAAAUCUGUGUCUGAUGAGUUAGGCAAAUGAUGCGCCAAUGACUAUGAAUUAUUUUGGCACGAAGUUUAAGAAAGUAAUAUAGACUUUUGAAUUUUGUGAUUUUAGACUAAAAAUAUAUAUAAUGUACACAAUUUGAUCUUACACGUCAUAUAAAAAGUUAAAAUUAAAGAGUCACUAAAAAAGUGAAGACGCUUUUUUUUUAAACGAACUAAAAGGAAAGUAGUACAAAUAAAUUGAAAUUGAGGGAGUAAAAUAUGUUCUAUUACUCUGUAAGGAUGUUAUAUUUAGCUGAUUUCGGUUUGUUUGUGUCAUUAACAUGUGUAUAUGGCUGUUUUCUGCUCAAUUAGCCAUACAAAUUUGUUACUUUAUAGUUGUUAUGAAUAUUGUCUAUGUAAUACUUAUAACACUAAUAAAUUUAAAUGUUGUCUAUGUGACAUUCCACUCGUGAUUGACUUUAUUUUUGUUAUUAUGUUUAAGUUGUUAAUCAAAUGGUGGUCUACAGUAACAAGUAUAUCUCUUUUUCCUUAGCUAAAAGAUGUGUUGAAUUGGAAGGAAGAUAAUAAAAAAGAAGAAGAUUAAGUUAGAGCCAUAAGAUUGGACUGAUUAGUUUUUGUGUAAGACGACAAUAUGUUGUUCCCAAUUCAUUUUAAAUGCCCAAAGGUUCUGGUACAUGAUAGCAUUUGUUCAAUUGUUUUAAAGUGGCACAUACUUCAACUUAAAUGUGUUAGUUGUUUCACACAACUAUCUGUGUGUACUUAAAUAGCACACGUACUUUAUCUACAAUUUCUCAGGUAUUUAAUUACUUGCUUGCGACUUGCUUGUGUUCCUUAUAUUCCAUAUAUACACACCAUUGCUUGAGAUACUAUUACAUGAUGGAGGACUUAUAAGUACAGGUAAAAUAGAUAACAUUAGAGUAAUUAAAAAGACAAAUCUUCUCUCUUUUUCUUUAGACAAAUAAAAUAUAUACAUGGUAAUGAGUGCAACAUCUGGACAAGCUGAAAUGAAGAGGAGAACAAAUGUUUUCCGAAGGCAAUGAUUAGCAUCUGAUUACUAAUUUGGGUAAAUUGAUGCGUUCUUCUGGAUUUAUGUUAAUGCUCAUUGAUUGUAUCUGCUCGUGUUCAUCUCUUUUAUUAUUUGAUAAUAAUAUACUAUAUAAACUGAAGUUCUCAGUAAUUGAGCCAAACAAAAGUUCAAAUUCUUUGCACAUUGAAUGCCAACUUUUUUUCCAUCUCUGUUUCAAUAACAAUUUUACUACAGGCAACCAAGUAGAGCAAUGUAUAUGGAAUAACCUUUUCUGUUUUCUUUUAAGAUGAUUUAGCAUUAUAAUGUUUUCCCUACUAUUCAGUUCCUAAAAAUAUGGGGGUGGGGAAUCAAUUUCAAAAAUGGAUUGAAGAAAAAUUGAUCAUGAUUUCUUUGGGAACGCUUCUGUGAUUGUUUUUUUAAAUCCAAUUGUUCAUGCAGCUUAUAGGUAUUAAUGAUAACGAUGUCUAUGGAAGGUGAUNNNN